GAUUUAGGCUCUCGUUUUGAGGUCCGACCACUUUCAUUUCCUUACACUGUGCACAUACUUCUUUUCACACUUUUAACACAUUAGUAUAAGAAUGUAACAGUCUCUUAAUUGAGCAUAAAUAAAAAUAAAACUUUCAGCAACGGAUCCUUGGCUCUCGCAUCGAUGAAGAACGCAGCGAAUUGCGAUAAGUAAUGUGAAUUGCAGAAUUCAGUGAAUCAUCGAAUCUUUGAACGCCCUUGCCUCUUUGGUAUUCCGAAGAGAUGUCUGUUUGAGUGUCAUGAAACUCUCAACCCCCCUAUUUUGUAAUGAGAUGGGUGGGGCUUGAUUAUGGUGUUGUCGGGUAAUUGCCGGCUCAACUGAAAUACACGAGCAACCCCUUUGAAAUAGACGGUUUGACUCGGCGUAAUAAUUAUUUCGCUGAGGACGUCUUCUUCAAAGUAAGCGGUGCUUCUAAUGCGCUUUUAAAGCAUCUUAAGCUU
This 479-nucleotide small RNA is filed under the name Cystobasidium sp. 920 FbG. RNAcentral describes it as "eukaryotic LSU rRNA". The stretch from base 129 to 278 matches the Rfam family "5.8S ribosomal RNA". The record is from RNAcentral. Lineage: Eukaryota; Fungi; Basidiomycota; Cystobasidiomycetes; Cystobasidiales; Cystobasidiaceae.